ACUCCGUGCCAGCAGCCGCGGUAAUACGGAGGGUGCAAGCGUUGUCCGGAAUCAUUGGGCGUAAAGAGUUCGUAGGUGGUUUGUUAAGUUUGGUGUUAAAUGCAGAGGCUCAACUUCUGUUCGGCAUCGGAUACUGGCAGACUAGAAUGCGGUAGAGGUAAAGGGAAUUCCUGGUGUAGCGGUGAAAUGCGUAGAUAUCAGGAGGAACAUCGGUGGCGUAAGCGCUUUACUGGGCCGUAAUUGACACUGAGGAACGAAAGCCAGGGUAGCAAAUGGGAUUAGAUACCCCAGUAGUCCUGGCCGUAAACGAUGGAUACUAGGUGUUGCGGGUAUCGACCCCUGCAGUGCCGUAGCAAACGCGUUAAGUAUCCCGCCUGGGGAGUACGCACGCAAGUGUGAAACUCAAAGGAAUUGACGGGGACCCGCACAAGCGGUGGAACAUGUGGUUUAAUUCGAAGCAACGCGAAGAACCUUACCAGGGCUUGACAUCUAACAAACCUUUGUGAAAGCAGAGGGUGCUCUUCGGAGAAUGUUAAGACAGGUGGUGCACGGUUGUCGUCAGCUCGUGUCGUGAGAUGUUGGGUUAAGUCCCGCAACGAGCGCAACCCUCGUCGUUAGUUGGUACUAUCGGUAUACUUAUAGUAACCUCUCUAGCGAGACUGCCGGUGAUAAACCGGAGGAAGGUGAGGACGACGUCAAAUCAUCAUGCCCCUUAUGCUCUGGGCUACACACGUGUUACAAUGGCCGGUACAAUGAGCCGCCAACUCGCGAGAGUGAGCAAAUCUCUAAAAGCCGGUCUCAGUUCGGAUUGCAGUCUGCAACUCGACUGCAUGAAGUCGGAAUCGCUAGUAAACGCAGAUCAGCACGCUGCGUUGAAUACGUUCCCGGGUCUUGUACACACCGCCCGUCACACCAUGGAAGUCGACCACGCCCGAAGUACGUGAGCUAACCGUAAGGAAGCAGCGUCCUAAGGCAGGGUUGGUGACUGGGGUGAAGUCGUAACAAGGUAGCCGUACCGGAAGGUGUGGCUG
Molecule: ribosomal RNA, 1031 nt
Filed under: human gut metagenome
Description: bacterial SSU rRNA
Rfam family: Bacterial small subunit ribosomal RNA
Source: RNAcentral